GAUGGGGCUAUCUCGACGGAGAGAAAAGCGGUACGCCUUACCGCCUGCCUCAUCACCUCUAUUGUUAAGG
This is a non-coding RNA of Xenorhabdus khoisanae, 70 nucleotides long. NCBI's taxonomy places the organism in Bacteria, Pseudomonadati, Pseudomonadota, Gammaproteobacteria, Enterobacterales, Morganellaceae. The record is from Rfam.